ACAACCAUUUACAACCCACCUAAAUUAGAAAAACAAGAAGAAUAGCAAAUUAAGACACGCAGAUCAAACUGAGAGGUAGCUUUCAGUCUGCUCCCAUCUUCUCGGUCAUCCGCCGGCAACCACCAACCAAUCCGGCCAUUAUCCUAAUCCCUCAAUCCUCUCCGGCGAUCUCCGAUUAUUAUUCACACAACACACUAUUCACCGGUCAAAUUCUUCUACCACCACUAUCUAAACAUCCAAUCGUAGGGUUUCAAACUCAAAUUUAGGGUUUUACUCACAGAGAAUUGUAUUAUAACGAAUCGGUUUAUUAUGAUAACUCGUUCGAAACUCGUGGAGCAACUCAGAGAUAGCCAGAUCCGAUCUCAGCACAAGUGGUCUCCUCUCGUUAUCUUCUCCCCCAAGCCAAAUAUCUCCAAUUGGGUGGAUGUUGCGGUGGCAAUCUUGUGGGCCACACUGUUCAUCGUGCUGGUAAUAUCGUCAUAUAUGGCCCUCUACGCGAGACAUUUCUGGCUUUCGCUUGCUAUAAUUUGUGCGGUUGUUUUAGUUCCUAUACGGUUGCGGAUUUCUAGGCAGACUAUUACUAGGAAAAAAGAUAGAAGGUUGCUGUUGCCUUUGUCCAUGUGACUGAGCAUAUCCUUGCAUGAUUGAUCAAACCCAGUAAUUGAUUGGGUGCAACGAGUGUUACAAAACAUAAUUUCUUUACCCUUGACUUGUAUAUUUGACCUGGAUUUCAUGUUACAAGUUUCUUAUCUAGGCUUAGGAUUUGUUUAGUGAUGUCCUCACUACCGAAUUCUGGUACCCCAACGCGAUUUCAUCACUUUGCGAGUCCCACAACUAA
This is a long non-coding RNA of Helianthus annuus (common sunflower), 838 nucleotides long. RefSeq lists it as uncharacterized. The record is from RefSeq and is a predicted model, not a curated record. NCBI's taxonomy places the organism in Eukaryota, Viridiplantae, Streptophyta, Magnoliopsida, Asterales, Asteraceae. The transcript has 2 exons.